Molecule: ribosomal RNA, 577 nt
Filed under: uncultured eukaryote
Lineage: Eukaryota
Description: SSU rRNA
Rfam family: Eukaryotic small subunit ribosomal RNA
Source: RNAcentral
GAGUUCAGAGUGAGCUCAGCUGGUCGGCCUAAUGGGUCAUUACUGGUUGACUCUCUCUUGUUUGUGGGUCUCGCCCGGAGUUAACUCUUCGGAUGUGGAUCCCACAUCGUUUACCUUGAAAAAAUUAGAGUGUUCAAAGCAGGCGUUUGCUUGAAUAUAUUAGCAUGGAAUAAUGGAAUAGGACGCUGGUUCUAUUUUGUUGGUUUUGAGAACCAGAGUAAUGAUUAAUAGGGACAGUUGGGGGCAUUCAUAUUUCAUUGUCAGAGGUGAAAUUCUUGGAUUUAUGAAAGAUGAACUUCUGCGAAAGCAUUUGCCAAGGAUGUUUUCAUUAAUCAAGAACGAAAGUUAGGGGAUCGAAGACGAUCAGAUACCGUCGUAGUCUUAACCAUAAACUAUGCCGACUAGGGAUUGGGCGUGGUUUGUUCAUUGACCCGCUCAGCACCUUACGAGAAAUCAAAGUCUUUGGGUUCCGGGGGGAGUAUGGUCGCAAGGCUGAAACUUUAAAGGAAUUGACGGAGGGGCACCACCAGGAGUGGAGCCUGCGGCUUAAUUUGACCUCAACACGGAAAAACUUACC